Molecule: long non-coding RNA, 2831 nt
Filed under: Homo sapiens (human)
Lineage: Eukaryota; Metazoa; Chordata; Mammalia; Primates; Hominidae
Description: non-protein coding ADORA2A-AS1:19
Source: RNAcentral
CUUCGCCUCUCGGUUAGCAAGCGAUGAGGCACGCCCCUCCACAGGCGGGACUGCGCGGAGUCGUCGCGCCUCGGCUGCGAGUCAGGACUGAGGCUGUCCCCCUCCCGCCUCCCUCAGGGGCCCUGGCGCGGGUGCCUCCAGGUUCCACCCCUCACCUGCCCCUUGGUGUCGGGCCGGGACCCUGGAGAGGUCGUGAGGGAGUCCUGGGCGCGGGCUCCGGGAGGCUGCGGCGCGGGUCUGAGGUAAACGGCCCGGCCGCUGCGGGCCCUUGCGGGGGCUGGUUCCAGCAGCAACCGCCGGGCAGGGCCCCUCCCGACCGCGACCUCCUGUCCGCACCGUAGGGCAGCCGGCCGGGCCAGCCUCCCUCACAGGACUACCGAGGAAGAGGUAGGAUUUCACUCUGUCACCCAGGCGGGAGUGCAGUGGUGCGAUCAUAGCGGGGACUACAAGUGUGCACCACAUGCUUGUCUACGAACCUGAAGUAUUCUGAUGCAGUGGAGAGAGUGUAGAACUCUGGAGUGAAGAGAUCUGCCUGGAACCCUGACUCUAUCACUAGGAGAUUCCUUGGAAUGAAACCAAUGGGAGUCCAGGGUUUGGGAGAGUCUCAUCAGAGCAGAUGGGCGAGCAGCAGCCAGAACGCUUGUUGCCUUUGGCUGAGAACACUAUCCUGGAUCUGAAUGUCUUCUUUGUCACUCCAAGAGAUGGCCCUGGGACUGAGAAGUGGAUGGCAGCUGUGACAGCAGGAGAGGACUGCCUGAGGCUCCCCGGGCAGAGGCUCUGGUGCCAGGUUAGCAGCAGGACCGACGGCAGACCCAGCAGCCAGAGAGUGAAAGGCCAACUUCUCAGCCCCCCUGGCCUGCUCCAUCCCGUCAACUCUCCCAGGAACUACCAGCACCCACCUAAGGGACACCAGCCGCCCUGUGAAAGGACAAGCCAGAGACCCCUGGAGCUCGGAUGUGGAAGGAUGUGGGGAGCUGCCUGGUCCUGUCUCCCACUGCCGCAGAGGGACAUGAGGGAUGGAGCAGGACUGGCAACCUGGAGAGGAAGUCACUCCUGGUCCUGAGCCCUGUUCAAAGGGCCAGGCUCCCCUCUACCCCAUUGUCCAUGUGACAGAGCUCAAACACACAGACCCCAACUUUCCCUCCAACUCCAAUGCUGUCGGCACCUCAAGUGGCUGGAACAGGAUUGGCACGGGCUGCAGCCAUACCUGGGACUGGAGGUUCUCCUGCACCCAGCAGGCCCUUUUGCCCCUACUAGGAGCCUGGGAAUGGAGCAUUGACACAGAAGCAGGAGGAGGAAGGAGAGAGCAGAGCCAGAAACCCUGCAGCAACGGAGGGCCUGCAGCAGCUGGAGAGGGCCGAGUCCUCCCAAGCCCCUGCUUUCCAUGGAGCACUUGCCAGGCAGCCAUUCACAAAGUGUGUCGUUGGCAGGGAUGCACCAGACCAGCUCUCCUGGCACCAUCCCUGGCCACACUCAAGGAACACAGUUAUCCCUGAUGCUCUUGGCCUCUCUCCCUGAGCAGUACUCACCAGGGCCCACCUGACUCACGAUAGCCCCUGCCCAACAGGUACAAGUGGAGCUGGUGCUGGCCCCGGGCUGCCUCCCACCCAGGUGCCUGGCCUGUGGCUCCAAGGUGGACUCCCAGGCCCAGCACCACCAGCAGCAGCAACAGACCCCUCUGCCCAGGCCGGCCUCACACGGGGCUAAAGACACCCACGGCUCCUGCCAGCAGGGUCCACACAGGCCACCUCGCUGCCCGUCCUCUCCCUCAGCCCCUCCUUAAGCACUCCUGCAGGCUCUCCCAGCUGCUGCCAGCACAUCCCGGGUGAGGCUUGCCCGGACCCACAGGCAACCUGGGCCCCUGCCAAGCCAGAAUCCACUCUCAGCUGUGCCUUUCUCGGCCCUGAGCAAAGCAGAUCAGUGGAGUCAGAGGCACCUUUGGGGCAGACAGGGGAAGAGGAGUGCAUUCAUUGGGGAAAGGUUGGGAGCUACCCAGCCGUAGGCUGGCAAAUCAGCUCCUGGCCGGGGGCACCCUGACUUACAGGCUUUGCCUGAUUUCUGUGGUGUAAAUUCUCCCCUUGUGCCCAGUUUCAAGCUACUAAUGUGUCGUGGACCGUAACUGGGGAGCAACACAGAGUCAGCUGGCCACGAUGCCAGUCACUGCUGAGCUGCCAAACCUUACGCGUCCCAGGGGGCACCUGCCUAGAGGCCAGGCACUGCACUGGACCCUCAGACACAGCUUGUGCAGCCUGCUUAGGAGCUUGGGAAAUGACUGUCAUCUGUGAUCUUGCUGGUCCCAGGAAGCCCAUUUUACAGAUGAGGAAACUGAGGCCCAAAGGCACGAAGCGACCUCUCUCAGCCUCACCAAGAGCACUGGAAGGUGGUGUAGGGCUGCGGCCGUGCGCACAGAGAGCACAGCAGCAGGAAGGCUCCUGGGCCUCCAGCUCCCCUCCCUCAGAAGCCUCCCAGAGUGACAGGAAGGUCAGAGGCCCCGGGGAGGGGGCGGGGCCAGGAUCUGGCAAUUUCCUAUCCCUCUCUGUUGGCUCUGUGCAUCUAAUUACUCCUUGAGUCAUCUGUUGCUAACCAGGAGGGGAAAUUAAAUAUUAAUAAUGUAAUACUUCUCUGUGAUUACCCCUUGUUGGGGACAGAUCAGAGGGCAGAUGCUGCCCCAUACAGACAGGGGACACAUGCUGCGGAAUGUGCAUAAUGCCUCUUGAAAGAACCACCUUAUAGGAUUCCACGCGGUCAGACUCAAAACUGCUGCUGCUUCCUGCCUUCCUCCUCACCUCCCCCAACCUGGCCACUUUAAUUAAAACUCCAUUUAAUCAAAA